Molecule: ribosomal RNA, 799 nt
Filed under: uncultured archaeon
Lineage: Archaea
Description: bacterial SSU rRNA
Rfam family: Archaeal small subunit ribosomal RNA
Source: RNAcentral
GUCAAUCUAACCUAUGGACGGGGAUAAUCUCGGGAAACUGAGGAUAAACCCCGAUAGAUCAUUAUGCCUGGAACGGUUUAUGGUCUAAAUGAUUCGUCGCCGUAGGGUGGGACUGCGGCCUAUCAGCUUGUUGGUGAGGUAAUGGCCCACCAAGGCUAUUACAGGUACGGGCUCUGAGAGGAGAAGCCCGGAGAUGGGUACUGAGACACGGACCCAGGCCCUAUGGGGCGCAGCAGGCGAGAAACCUUUGCAAUGUGCGCAAGCACGACAAGGUUAAUCCGAGUGUUUCCUGCUAAAGGAAUCUUUUGUUAGUUGUAAAACCACUGAUGAAUAAGGGGUGGGCAAGUUCUGGUGUCAGCCGCCGCGGUAAAACCAGCACCUCAAGUGGUCAGGAUGAUUAUUGGGCCUAAAGCAUCCGUAGCCUGUUCUAUAAGUUUCCGGUUAAAUCCAUUAGCUCAACUAAUGGGCUGCCGAAAAUACUGUAGAACUAGGGAGUGGGAGAGGUAGACGGUACUCGGUAGGAAGGGGUAAAAUCCUUUGAUCUAUUGAUGACCACCUGUGGCGAAGGCGGUCUACCAGAACACGUUCGACGGUGAGGGAUGAAAGCUGGGGGAGCAAACCGGAUUAGAUACCCGGGUAGUCCCAGCUGUAAACGAUGCAGACUCGGUGAUGCCCUGGCUUGUGGCCAGUGCAGUGCCGCAGGGAAGCCGUUAAGUUUGCCGCCUGGGAAGUACGUACGCAAGUAUGAAACUUAAAGGAAUUGGCGGGGGAGCACCACAAGGGGUGAAGCCUGCGGUUC